CCGUACAUUUUCCAGGAUGGAAGCCCGAAGUUUGAGGGAGAAACUUGUGAGGAAAUAAAGGAAGUUAGGCUGAGGGGCAGAGAGCGAGACUUUUCUAUUUUCCAAAAGCUCGGUCUGAGGCCCCUCAGUCUUGCUUCCUACCCCGCGCUUGAGUUUCUCCCCGCUUGGAUGCUCUCAGGGGCAGUGUGAAG
This 191-nucleotide microRNA precursor is filed under the name Callithrix jacchus (white-tufted-ear marmoset). RNAcentral's name for it is "microRNA cja-mir-423 precursor". Its record names the gene cja-mir-423. The stretch from base 59 to 139 matches the Rfam family "mir-423 microRNA precursor family". The record is from miRBase by way of RNAcentral. Lineage: Eukaryota; Metazoa; Chordata; Mammalia; Primates; Cebidae.